RNAcentral lists this unclassified non-coding RNA (209 nucleotides) under uncultured fungus. RNAcentral describes it as "sequence contains ITS1". Lineage: Eukaryota; Fungi. The record is from RNAcentral.
GUAUUUAAAUGCUGUUAAGCGUUUGAACAUUCAAUAAUAAAUAUAGUGUAUGUGUGUAAAGGAGGACAUUUCAACAAUUGCUUGUCUACUAAUCCUCCUUCAAGAGUGCACAGGUGUAUAAAGGAUGAGAGGGUAAGCACAUGCGAGUAAACGCCAGCUCAACCCUCAAAGGUUCAUUAAUGAUCCUUCCGCAGGUUCACCUACGGAAA